This 467-nucleotide ribosomal RNA is filed under the name uncultured bacterium. RNAcentral's name for it is "partial 16S ribosomal RNA". It matches the Rfam family "Bacterial small subunit ribosomal RNA", at positions 28 to 507 of the family's 1533-position model. The record is from RNAcentral.
GAUGAACGCUGACAGAAUGCUUAACACAUGCAAGUCCACUUGAAUUUGGGUUUUUAACUUAGGUUUGGGUGGCGGACGGGUGAGUAACGCGUAAAGAACUUGCCUCACAGCUAGGGACAACAUUUGGAAACGAAUGCUAAUACCUAAUAUUAUGAUAAUAGGGCAUCCUAUAAUUAUGAAAGCUAUAAGCGCUGUGAGAGAGCUUUGCGUCCCAUUAGCUAGUUGGAGAGGUAACGGCUCACCAAGGCGAUGAUGGGUAGCCGGCCUGAGAGGGUGAUCGGGCACAGAGGGCAUGAGACACGAGCCUUACUCAUUAGUGGGCAAGGAGUGGAAAAUAGUGGAAGAUGUACCGCGUGUCUGAUGCAGCAAUUCUGUGUGAACGAUGAUGUUUUUCGGAAUGUAAAGUGGUUUGAGUUGGGAAGAAGCAAAUGACGGUACCAAAAGAAUAAGUAACGGCUAACUACGUG